GAUGAACGCUGGCGGCGUGCCUAAUACAUGCAAGUAGAACGCUGAAGGAAGGAGCUUGCUCUUUCCGGAUGAGUUGCGAACGGGUGAGUAACGCGUAGGUAACCUGCCUGGUAGCGGGGGAUAACUAUUGGAAACGAUAGCUAAUACCGCAUAACAGUAGAUGUUGCAUGAUAUCUACUUAAAAGGUGCAAUUGCACCACUACCAGAUGGACCUGCGUUGUAUUAGCUAGUUGGUGAGGUAACGGCUCACCAAGGCGACGAUACAUAGCCGACCUGAGAGGGUGAUCGGCCACACUGGGACUGAGACACGGCCCAGACUCCUACGGGAGGCAGCAGUAGGGAAUCUUCGGCAAUGGACGGAAGUCUGACCGAGCAACGCCGCGUGAGUGAAGAAGGGUUUCGGAUCGGAAAGCUCUGUUGUAAGAGAAGAACGAGUGUGAGAGUGGAAAGUUCACACUGUGACGGUAUCUUACCAGAAAGGGACGGCUAACUACGUG
Molecule: ribosomal RNA, 497 nt
Filed under: uncultured bacterium
Lineage: Bacteria
Description: partial 16S ribosomal RNA
Rfam family: Bacterial small subunit ribosomal RNA
Source: RNAcentral